Pelobates cultripes (western spadefoot toad) is the source of this 241-nucleotide non-coding RNA. The record is from the annotation of a GenBank genome assembly. Lineage: Eukaryota; Metazoa; Chordata; Amphibia; Anura; Pelobatidae.
UAUAAAAGUACUUGUUGUGUAAACAUUAUUUCUAAAGAAAAUCUCAGGGGUUUUUUUUGUAUUUUUUUGUGCAAGAAGAUAUAUUUUCCACUCACUGUACUUGCUGAAUGUAUGGGACAUGCAUAGUUAAAAUUUUACUAUGCAUUUCUUGGACUUUUCAGUCUCCUUCAGUGCGGUCAGUUCAGUAGCUGACGUGAAUUUCACAAUGUGUUUAGUGUAUAGCCCCGUGCCAACUUUUUCU